UGGGGAAUAUUGCACAAUGGGCGCAAGCCUGAUGCAGCCAUGCCGCGUGUAUGAAGAAGGCCUUCGGUUUGUAAAGUACUUUCAGCGGGGAGGAAGGGAGUAAAGUUAAUACCUUUGCUCAUUGACGUUACCCGCAGAAGAAGCACCGGCUAACUCCGUGCCAGCAGCCGCGGUAAUACGGAGGGUGCAAGCGUUAAUCGGAAUUACUGGGCGUAAAGCGCACGCAGGCGGUUUGUUAAGUCAGAUGUGUAAACGCGGGGCUUAACUUCGCGCGUGCAGUGGGUACGGGCAGGCUUGAGUGUGGUAGGGGUGACUGGAAUUCCAGGUGUAGCGGUGGAAUGCGCAGAUAUCUGGAGGAACACCGAUGGCGAAGGCAGGUCAGUGGGCCAUUACUGACGCUGAGGAGCGAAAGCAUGGGUAGCGAACAGG
RNAcentral lists this ribosomal RNA (429 nucleotides) under Chloroflexota bacterium. Its description in RNAcentral is "Chloroflexi bacterium partial 16S ribosomal RNA". It matches the Rfam family "Bacterial small subunit ribosomal RNA", at positions 355 to 776 of the family's 1533-position model. The record is from RNAcentral. Lineage: Bacteria; Bacillati; Chloroflexota.